RNAcentral lists this ribosomal RNA (1053 nucleotides) under Triticum aestivum (bread wheat). RNAcentral's name for it is "partial small subunit ribosomal RNA". The record is from RNAcentral. Lineage: Eukaryota; Viridiplantae; Streptophyta; Magnoliopsida; Poales; Poaceae.
AUGGAUGAGGGAAAGAAACAGAGAGAGUAUGAUGAAAUAGAAGAGGAAGAAACAGAUGAUGAAGAAUCUGAGGAGGAAGAAGUGGUGCAUUAUGAGGGUGACACAGAGGUUGAGGAACCUUUUCAAAUGGAUGAAGAUGACAAAGUUGUUUCACGGGAUGAAGAAACUGUAAUUGUACAUGAAGAGAAGAAGAAGAAAAAACAGAAGCUUCCAGUUAGGAAAGGGCCUGCAACAAGGACACAUUCAAGUGUAGUUCAAGAGGAGGAACCUGAUUUCGAACCUUCAUCUGAUGAAGAAGAGAAAGGAUUGUUGAAGGAGGCUGAUGAUGAUGGUUAUGAGCCAUUGUCAUUUGUGCUGCUAAAGAAAAGGAAGAGCAGGGCAAAGCAGAGGCCUCCUAGAAAAUGGUACGAUGAGAAAAUGGAGGCACCACAUGAGCAAUUAUGUCUAAAGAUGUGUUUCUUGGAUCAACAUCAAUUCAGAGAGGCUUUGUUGAACUUACACAUCACUCAAGGCAGAAACUUCAAAUAUCAUAGGAACUCAGAUCAAAGAAUAAUUGUAGAAUGCAACCAAAAACAUUGCAACUUCUUUAUGGUGGCAGCAGUUAUAAAAGGUGAAACUACUUUUGUAAUUAAGAAGAUGAGAAUGAAGCACACUUGCCCUAUUAGUACAGAGACAACAAGGGUAAGUGCCAAGUGGCUUGCACAGAAGUAUGAGUCACUGUUCAGAUCUGAUCUAACAACUGGCAUUCAGACUUUGAUUGAUGCCUGCAUGGAGAAGUAUGGUGUGGAUGUGCCCAAGUCAAUGGCAUAUAGGGCAAAGAACCUAGCUAUUUAUGUUGUGCUAGGAGACCACAAGAAGCAAUACCCUAGGUUGAAAGACUAUGCUCAGACAGUGAUGGAUACAAACCCUGGGAGUAGAGUAGUAGUCACUACUGUAACUCCAACACCCACUGAAAAAAUCCCCCAUCCAGGUCCAAGAUUCCACGCUAUGUUCUAUUGCAUCAAUGGAGCAAGGGAGGGGUUUCUCAAGGGGUGCAGACCAUUCAUUGGUUAG